This 1992-nucleotide ribosomal RNA is filed under the name human gut metagenome. RNAcentral describes it as "bacterial LSU rRNA". It matches the Rfam family "Bacterial large subunit ribosomal RNA", at positions 1 to 1989 of the family's 2925-position model. The record is from RNAcentral.
AUAAGAUAUCAAGGGCAACAGGUGAAUGCCUUGGCGCUGAGAGGCGAUGAAAGACGCGGUAAGCUGCGAUAAGCAUCGGGGAGGAGCUAAACAUCCUACGAUCCGAUGAUUUCUGAAUGGGGAAACCCGAUGGGAGUCAUGUCCCAUCAUCCUGAGCUGAAUACAUAGGCCCAGAGAAGCCAACCCGGGGAAGUGAAACAUCUCAGUACCCGGAGGAAGAGAAAUCAAACGAGACUCCCAAAGUAGCGGCGAGCGAAAUGGGAAGAGCCCAAACCGAGUGGUUUCGACCAUUCGGGGUUGUAGGGCCGGCAUACGCGAUUCUGGAGUAGGCAGAGGAAGUGAGCUGGAAAGCUCCGCCACAGCGGGUGAUAGCCCCGUACUCGAAACCGAAAAGGACGCAGCCGGUACCUGAGUACUGCGAGGCACGUGAAACCUCGUGGGAAUCUAGGGGGACCAUCCUCUAAGGCUAAGUACUCCUCAGCGACCGAUAGUGAACUAGUACCGUGAGGGAAAGGUGAAAAGAACCCCUGUUAGGGGAGUGAAAUAGAAUCUGAAACCUGUUGCCUACAAGCUGCGAGAGCUACUUCGGUAGUGAUCGCGUGCCUUUUGUAUAAUGAGUCAGCGAGUUACUCUACCGUGCGAGGUUAAGCGAAAGCGUAGCCGUAGUGAAAGCGAGGCUUAAUAGGCCGACUAGUACGUUGGAGUAGACCCGAAACCGGGUGAUCUAUCCAUGAGCAGGUUGAAGCAAGGGUAAAGCCUUGUGGAGGACCGAACCGUCAACGGCUGAAAACGUUCCGGAUGACUUGUGGAUAGGGGUGAAAGGUCAAUCAAACCCGGUGAUAGCUGGUUCUCCCCGAAAUAUAUUGAGGUAUAGCCUCGGGAAUUGAUUAGCGGAGGUAAAGCACUGACAGAGCUAGGGGUCCUACCAGAUUACCAAACUCUAUCAAACUCAGAAUGCCGCUUAAUUGUAUCCCGGGAGUCAGACGGCGGGUGCGAAGGUUCGUCGUCAAAAGGGAAACAGCCCAGACCAACAGCUAAGGUCUCCAAAUCCAUGCUCAGUGGUGAAGGUAGUGGAACCGUUCAGACAGCCAGGACGUUGGCUUAGAAGCAGCCAUCGUUUAAAGAAAGCGUAAUAGCUCACUGGUCUAAUGGCUCUGCGCCGAAAAUGUAACGGGGCUAAGCAUGGUACCGAAGCUUUGGCAAUCUCCUUUGGAGAUUGGGUAGGGGAGCGUUCGCUGCGGGCUGAAGGUGUGCCGGAAGGCAUGCUGGACUGCAGUGAAGUGAUUAUGCUGACAUGAGUAACGAUAAAAUAUGUGAAAAACAUAUUCGCCGAAAACCCGAGGUUUCCUGGGUAAAGGUAAUCUUCCCAGGGUUAGUCGGAUCCUAAGGUGAGGGUGAAAGCCGUAACCGAUGGAAAACAGGUUAAUAUUCCUGUACUUGUUGUGUAGCGCGAUGGAGGGACGCAGGAAGAUAGGCGGGCCGGGUGUUGGAUAUCCCGGUGCAAGCGUGUAGGAAUAUCCGGUAGGCAAAUCCGCCGGACGAAUCUGAGACGCGAGUCCGUGGGCGCAAGCCCUGAAGCCGUUGAGUCUAUGCUGCCUAGAAAAGCUCCUAAGUUUAUCCACAGCAAUCCGUACCGCAAACCAACUCAGGUGGGUGGGAUGAACAAUCCAAGGCGCUCGAGAGAACUCUGGCCAAGGAACUCGGCAAAAUAACCCCGUAACUUCGGAAGAAGGGGUGCUCUCUAGGGUGACAUGUUUAACAUAUGAAGCCCCGGGGAGCCGCAGUGAAUUGGUGGUGGCGACUGUUUACUAAAAACAUAGGUCUGUGCGAAGUCCUAAAGACGACGUAUACGGACUGACGCCUGCCCGGUGCUGGAAGGUUAAAAGGAGGGGUCAGCGCAAGCAAAGCUCCGAAUUGAAGCCCCAGUAAACGGCGGCCGUAACUAUAACGGUCCUAAGGUAGCGAAAUUCCUUGUCGGGUAAGUUCCGACCU